UACGUAGGGUGCAAGCGUUAAUCGGAAUUACUGGGCGUAAAGCGUGCGCAGGCGGUUAUGCAAGACAGAUGUGAAAGCUCCCGGCUCAACUGGGAGAGGUCCUUGGAUACUGGCAGACUUGAGGGAGGUAGAGGAGAGUGGAAUUCCCGGUGUAGUGGUGAUAUGCGUAGAUAUCGGGAGGAACACCAGUGGCGAAGGCGGCUCUCUGGGCCUUACCUGACGCUGAGACGCGAAAGCGUGGGGAGCGAACCGG
RNAcentral lists this ribosomal RNA (253 nucleotides) under uncultured bacterium. RNAcentral's name for it is "partial 16S ribosomal RNA". It matches the Rfam family "Bacterial small subunit ribosomal RNA", at positions 524 to 776 of the family's 1533-position model. The record is from RNAcentral.